ACGAAAAUUGUAUAGAAAAUUUGAAAAAUAAUUUUUUUUUUUGUAACGUUUUUUUUUUUUUUUUUGAUUACCAGGAGUUGUAACGUUUUUAUAAUUGGUAAUAACCUUCAAAGUAGUAUACUAUGUAUCAAAACUGUACAUAGUUACCAAAUAAAACCAAUAACUUCAGUAGAUACAAUACUAUAUAUGAACUUUUAAUUGCUAUCUAAAAUCGUGGAAUCGAG
RNAcentral lists this long non-coding RNA (224 nucleotides) under Capsella rubella. Its description in RNAcentral is "long non-coding RNA (CRUB_LNC004044)". Lineage: Eukaryota; Viridiplantae; Streptophyta; Magnoliopsida; Brassicales; Brassicaceae. The record is from RNAcentral.